CUGCAGAGUGUGAAAAUCUCAUCAGAUUAAGGAACACAAAGACAUCUUUUUCAUAUUUUGAAUGUAAAACUGUUUUGGAAACUGUUAUUUUUAGAAACAGUUAAAAACAUUGUUUCAUUAGUUUUUCAUGUAAAAUUGUAACAACCAGCAUGAAAUACCUGUCAUCACAGAAGCAUGGUAUAUUGGAUUCCGAAACAUAUUCUUUGUAAGUUUUAAUAUAUUUAUGUAUUAUUUAUACUUAAUUGUAACCCAUAAUGUACAGAUAUUAUUUUUCCUUCAACUCUUAAGAAUAUUCUUAAAUAAUAAAACUAAAAUUAAUGAAUUAUAAUUUUUGUUGGUUGGGAAAAAGACACACGUGACAGUGCAUCACUUCACCUCAUCACCUCAUCAUUUCAUCUCAUCAUUUCAUCUCAUCAUUUCAUCUCAUCAUUUUAUCUCAUCAUUUCAUCUUAUCCCAUCUCAUCUCAUCAUUUCAUAUCAUCUCAUCUCAUCAUUUCAUCAAAUCUCAUUUCAUGUCAUUUCCAUUUCAUUUUCAUUAUUUCAUUUCAUCAUUUCAUUUCACUAUUUCAUUUCAUUUCAUCUAAUUUCAUUUAUUUCAUUGUCAUUUCAUAUCAUCUCAUUUCAUGUCAUUUUUGAUAUCAUUUUUCAUAUCAUUUUUCAUCUCAUUUCAUCUCAAUUCAUCUCAUCAUUUCAUCUCAUCUCAUGAUUUCCUCCUUUCUUUUCAACAUUUCAUCUCAUUUCUUCUCAUCUCAUUUCAAUUUUAUUUCAUUAUUUCAUCUCAUUUCAUUAUUUCACCUAAUUUCAUUAUUUCAUCUCAUCUCAAUUCAUCUCAUCAUUUCAUCUCAUCAUUCAUCUCAUCAUUUCAUAUCAUCAUUUUAUCUCAUCUCAUCAUUUCAUCUCAUUUCAUCUCAUCUCAUUCCAUCAUUACAUCCCAUUUCAUCUCAUUUUAUGUCAUCAUUUCAUGUCAUCAUUUCAUCAAAUCUCAUCUCAUCAUUUCAUCUCAUUUCAUCAUUUCAUCUCAUUUCAACUCAUUGCAUCUCAUCUCAUCAUUUCCGUUUCAUUAUUCCAUUUCAUCAUUUCAUUCAUUAUGUCAUUUCAUCUCAUCAUAUUUCAUCUCAUCUCAUCAUUUCAUCUCAUUUUAUCUCAUCUCAUCAUUUCAUCAUUUCAUCUCAUUUCUUCUCAUCUCAUCAUUUCCAUUUCAUUUUCAUUAUUUCAUUUCAUCUCACCAUUUCAUCUCGUUUCAUCUCAUCAUUUCAUCCAUCAUCUCAUCAUUUCAUCUCAUUUUAUCUCAUCUCCUCUCCUUUCAAUUUCUUUUCAAUUUUGUCAUUUCGUCUCAUCAUUUCAUCUCAUCAUUUCUACUCACCAUUUCAUCUCAAAAUUUCAUCUCAUCAUCUCAUCUCAUCGCAUCAUUUCGUCAUUUCAUCUCAUCAUUUCAUCUCAAGUCAUCUUAUCAUUUCAUCUAAGUGAAAUGAUGUAAUGGAAUCAUGAAAUGAAAUGGAUAAGAUGCCUUCAGUGAUGUUAA
This 1522-nucleotide long non-coding RNA is filed under the name Pan troglodytes (chimpanzee). RNAcentral describes it as "lncRNA (ENSPTRG00000053620.1)". Lineage: Eukaryota; Metazoa; Chordata; Mammalia; Primates; Hominidae. The record is from RNAcentral.